Long non-coding RNA from Spodoptera frugiperda (fall armyworm), 3884 nucleotides. RefSeq lists it as uncharacterized. The transcript is spliced from 2 exons. Lineage: Eukaryota; Metazoa; Arthropoda; Insecta; Lepidoptera; Noctuidae. The record is from RefSeq and is a predicted model, not a curated record.
UAAUGUAUAUGUCGGGAUCGAGGGUAGAAUUGAAACACAGGCGUCCACCCUCGGCGCUCGACGGAGUCAAGGAUUCAUCGGCUGAGCGGCGUGUCGAUCACUUCUCGUGCAGCAGCCGACCAGUGCGGUCGAAUAUUGAACCGUCGUGUGUUUCAACCGUAUACCUAGUCUGUAACCUGUUAGUUUGAUAUUGUAACAGUUAAUUAUCUUUCAUGUACUUUGUAACCAUGUUUGCACUUUGAGAGUGACUGAGACCUCUGAGUUUGUUUCGGCAUUUCUUCUCAGAGUAGUCGGUAGGAAAUGCCGGCCCCAUCAGUAGCUUAAGUAAAGUAGUAGAUAGUUCCAUAUCGAAGACUUUAUUAUUUUACUGCUACCUUCGUCAUAACGCCCACAAGUAUUCCUGACAUGAGUAGUGAGAUUCUCCUUUCACCGACAUAUCGAAAGUGAGAGAUCUCCUAUCUCCGACAUCAGAAGUGAGAUGGACCCGGACGAUUGAAGAUGUUGAAAUCAUCGGAGCUGAUUCAUCGAGAACUACUUGCAUUCGACCCCAACAAAAAAAACUGCGAUGCAAGGCAAGCGCAGUACAUCGUCAUCCGGUACACGAGCAACGGCGGCGGUGGCAGCGGCAGCAGGCCAGGGACACGGCGACGGCAGCGGACCAGGAGACGCGGCGACUGUAGCGGACCAGGGAACGCGGCGACGGCAGCAGACCUGGGGACGCGGCGACAGCGGCAGCGAACCAGGGCGCGCGGUGGCAGCGGCAGCGGGCCAGGUGACGCAGCGUAAGCGCGGCGUAUGGUGAGAAGCGUAUUGAUGUCUGCAGUUGGACACUGCAUCAUCGGGAAUAUUCAGGUGACCUUGUUCCUUUUAUUAUGAUUCUGAUAUCAAAUACUUUAUAGGAUGAAAAUGAGUCAGCGUUUCCAGUUUAGGAUUGUUGAUUUUGCGAUCAGAAGUAUUAUUUUACUUUUGUCGGGUAGUCAUAAUAAAAACUAAGUCGUGAUGUUUUAGAUCCGAGAUUAUGAAAAGUCAUUAGAAUGACAUCUGAUUAUGUUGUUUCGGGUUGUGUAUUGUUAGGUUACGUGAUAUCUCAAAUAAUCUUUGAUUUUGUUUAGUUGGAAAUUCGAUUUCCGCGACGUGAGGUAGAUUUAAAUAUGCGCUUGCGGUGUACCGUCGUAGAGAACAUUGAGAAAGAUAGCCUUUAACAAAGCAGGGUCAACAGUUACUAAGUUGCUAUUCGUGAUUGAAGUUAGAUGCGAAACGUCUUCUGAAGUCCUGAGCAAACUCAUGAUCGGUUUACCGUGAUCUAAUUUUUGGGAUUGGUGUGUUAUAUUUAGUCUUAAUUGUAGGUAGUAAGUCUAGGGAACAAAGAUUCUGAUUUAUUUUACUGCACCGUGAAUGCAUUACAGUGACAGAGGCUCGAGUCUAUAACAUGAAACUACAGUCGUAGCUGACUUGGGAGUCCUUGCGAGUGACUAUCAUGUGGUAACCGCAAAACAUUCGAUGUUGAUUACUAAUCAUUUAAUUUGAUUUUGAUUGAGGGUACCUAGACGUAAGAUAUGUUUCCGAAGGUACAUUUUAGUACGCUGAUAGAUUGUUAGGUAGUUAUUCUAAAUGUAGUCGAUCAAGUUGAGUUUUGCCUAGUAAAGAAAACCGCGGAGUAACGAGACGCGACAUUUCAUUUUGAUAUUGCAUCUAAUUUGAAUAGUGUAGGUACAUUGAAAAUUAUUUUAAAAGGUGUUACCGACAUUUGUUACCUUUUUACCAUUAUGAAUAUUGUAGUUGUAGCUACCAGUCUACCCACGACUGGUUGUUUAAGCGGUAGUUCGGCAUUUUAUUUUGAUUGUGCAUCUGAAUUGAAUAGUUUUGAAUAGUUACAGUACAGUUCUGACGAAUAAGGACGAGGAGGAUAUCUGAUCACCAGGUUCCUUGAGAAUUUUGUGAAAUGUAAGAGGUAGAAUUUCCUAUACACAUCGUUACUACUUGUACUCAACACUCAUCAUUCACACUCAUGCCCUUAACACUCGACACUGUGGACCGCACCGCAUGGGUGACAUGUGGCGCUGGGUCUGGCACAAUGGACCGCGCUCAUGAGGAGCAUGAGGCGAUGGUCAGUGUACACACCAGACCGCACACAUGAGAACCGUGUGGUGAUGGGUCUGCACAAACUCGCAUUGAGACCGCACCCGUGAGGAACAUGGCUGUUGGGUCUUUACUCACAAGUACAUACUCACACUUACAUCAUGUACACACAUUCACGUACACGUAGGUACUUAGAAAAAUAUGCCGACAAUAAAGUCAAAUGACAUAGAUAAAGUAGGUCAAAUAGCAGAUACCUUAGAACAGUUGAGGGUAGUAGAACAUCUGUAUUUGAGUUUGCAAGGUGAUCGUAGUUUAAAAAGAUGUUUGUUAAUGAGGGUUUCAGUGGAAACCAUGGAGUCUAGGAGAGACUCGGUAUUCCCAUGUGGGGUUCACGUGAGACAGAAUAACUGUGUGGUACUGAACUGUGCGUAGCCGUGAUCACUUGUAAAGCUUGAAUGCUUUGAGUUACUUGGUAGAUUCAUUAUUUUGUGAGUAACUAUGUUUGUGAAAUGUCAGUUUUACUGGUUUUGAUACUGGAACGUUGUAGUUAAACAAUAAUUUUGAUAUUAUUGGUUUGUUUCGAUUCAUAGUAAAGAGUUAAGUCACAUUUUUUGAAGAAGUUUUAGAAGGUCACGCAUCAGCCGAGAUUGGUUUUGAUGAAGUUAAUGAAGCUCGGUAGAAACUCGGGUAAGGGGACUCUAGAAGCCAUUAUGUGUUUGUGCUGUCUCUAUUCGUUUGUUGUAUGUUUGUGUCCGAUCACCUCAGUAGCGGUCGCGUAUUCGCAACCCGGUCACAAACGGAAUCUCCGAGUGUCGCCUCGAGAGUCCGUUCGGUGCGCGGUACGAGUUUGGCUCUGACGGGGGUCGGCGGCUGUCUGUGUUCGGUAUGUUUGUGUUCGAUCACCUCAGUAGCGGUCACGUAUUCGCAACCCGGUCGCAAACGGAAUCUCCGAGUGUCGCCUCGAGAGUCCGUUCGGUGCGCGAUACGAGUUUGGCUCUGACGGGGGUCGGCGGUUGUAUGCGUUCGUUUUGUGUUGCCGGAGGGUGACACACGGGAGAUCCGAGGGAUCUGAUCCAUGUGAUGGAUGUCAGCAAUGUGAUUGCUGGUCGGCUUGAGAGCCGGGGCACUGGGUGACUUGCUCGUGGACUCGAGUAAGGGCAUGCUAGGGGCCAUGUGAUGGAAGUCAGCAAUGUGAUUGCUGGUCGGCUAGAGAGCCGGGGCGCACUGGAUGUCUUACUCGGGAGUUUCUAGAGUUGUACUGAGUAGUUUGUAAUUUUUGUUGAUAAGAACGGCUGUGAUGUGUGAACCUAACAGUAUGAUGCUUUUUUUAAUUGUGUGUGGAAUGUGUCGGAACGGUCAGGAAUGACCGAGCUAUAUGAUACUUUGCGUGUAAUUUUCUGUCACAGAUGAGGUGUCACACGAGGACGUGUGCAAGCAGGAUGGCCGUGUCGGGAUCGAGGGUAGAAUUGAAACACAGGCGUCCACCCUCGGCGCUCGACGGAGUCAAGGAUUCAUCGGCUGAGCGGCGUGUCGAUCACUUCUCGUGCAGCAGCCGACCAGUGCGGUCGAAUAUUGAACCGUCGUGUGUUUCAACCGUAUACCUAGUCUGUAACCUGUUAGUUUGAUAUUGUAACAGUUAAUUAUCUUUCAUGUACUUUGUAACCAUGUUUGCACUUUGAGAGUGACUGAGACCUCUGAGUUUGUUUCGGCAUUUCUUCUCAGAGUAGUCGGUAGGAAAUGCCGGCCCCAUCAGUAGCUUAAGUAAAGUAACAGUGCAAUGUACAGAAUUAAACAAUAGUUCCAUA